AUUACUCCUACGGGAGGCAGCAGUCGAGAAUCUUCGGCAAUGGGCGAAAGCCUGACCGAGCGACGCCGCGUGGUGGAAGAAGGCCUUCGGGUUGUAAACACCUGUUGGGGGGGAACAAAACUGAGUGAACCCCUGAGGAAGCACGGGCUAAGUUCGUGCCAGCAGCCGCGGUAAUAAU
Molecule: ribosomal RNA, 178 nt
Filed under: uncultured bacterium
Lineage: Bacteria
Description: partial 16S ribosomal RNA
Rfam family: Bacterial small subunit ribosomal RNA
Source: RNAcentral